Molecule: ribosomal RNA, 1499 nt
Filed under: uncultured fungus
Lineage: Eukaryota; Fungi
Description: SSU rRNA
Rfam family: Eukaryotic small subunit ribosomal RNA
Source: RNAcentral
GUAGUCAUAUGCUUGUCUCAAAGAUUAAGCCAUGCAUGUCUAAGUAUAAGCAAUUACAAAGCGAAACUGCGAAUGGCUCAUUAUAUAAGUUAUCGUUUAUUUGAUAGUACCUUACUACAUGGAUAACCGUGGUAAUUCUAGAGCUAAUACAUGCUGAAAAUCCCGACUUCGGAAGGGAUGUAUUUAUUAGAUACAAAACCAAUGCCCUUCGGGGCUCUCUUGGUGAUUCAUGAUAACUUCUCGAAUCGCACGGCCCCGCGCCGGCGAUGGUUCAUUCAAAUUUCUUCCCUAUCAACUUUCGAUGCUACGGUAUUGUCCUAGCAUGGUUGCAACGGGUGACGGAGGGUUAGGGCUCGACCCCGGAGAAGGAGCCUGAGAAACGGCUACUACAUCCAAGGAAGGCAGCAGGCGCGCAAAUUACCCAAUCCCGACUCGGGGAGGUAGUGACGAUAAAUACCGAUACAGGGCUCUUUUGGGUCCUGUAAUUGGAAUGAGUACAAUUCAAAUCCCUUAACGAGGAACAAUUGGAGGGCAAGUCUGGUGCCAGCAGCCGCGGUAAUUCCAGCUCCAAUAGCGUAUAUUAAAGUUGUUGUGGUUAAAAAGCUCGUAGUAGAAGCUCGGCCUCCGGUCGGCCGGUCCGCCUCACCGCGUGCACUGGUUCGGCCGGGGCUUCACCUUCUGCGGAACCGCAUCUCCUUCACUGGGGGUGUCGGGGAAACAGGACGUUUACUCAAUCGUCAGAGGUGAAAUUCUUGGAUCGAUUGAAGACUAACUACUGCGAAAGCAUUUGCCAAGGAUGUUUUCAUUUAUCAGGAACGAAAGUUAGGGGAUCGAAGACGAUCAGAUACCGUCGUAGUCUUAACCAUAAACUAUGCCGACUAGGGAUCGGACGGUGUUAUUUCUUGACCCGUUCGGCACCUUACGAGAAAUCAAAGUGCUUGGGCUCCAGGGGGAGUAUGGUCGCAAGGCCGAAACUUAAAGAAAUUGACGGAAGGGCACCACCAGGGGUGGACUGCGGCUUAAUUUGACUCAACACGGGGAAACUCACCAGGUCCAGACACAACGAGGAUUGACAGAUUGAGAGCUCUUUCUUGAUUUUGUGGGUGGUGGUGCAUGGCCGUUCUUAGUUGGUGGAGUGAUUUGUCUGCUUAAUUGCGAUAACGAACGAGACCUUAACCUGCUAAAUAGUCCGUAUUACCCCGGUAGUACGCCGACUUCUUAGAGGGACUAUCGGCUCAAGCCGAUGGAAGUUUGAGGCAAUAACAGGUCUGUGAUGCCCUUAGAUGUUCUGGGCCGCACGCGCGUUACACUGACGGGGCCAGCGAGUACUGCCUUGGCCGAAAGGUCCGGGUAAUCUUGUGAAACCCCGUCGUGCUGGGGAUAGAGCAUUGCAAUUAUUGCUCUUCAACGAGGAAUCCCUAGUAAGCGCAAGUCAUCAGCUUGCGUUGAUUACGUCCCUGCCCUUUGUACACACCGCCCGUCGCUACUACCNGAUUGAA